UACGGGGGGGGCAAGCGUUGUUCGGAAUUACUGGGCGUAAAGGGCUCGUAGGCGGCCAACUAAGUCAGACGUGAAAUCCCUCGGCUUAACCGGGGAACUGCGUCUGAUACUGGAUGGCUUGAAUCCGGGAGAGGGAUGCGGAAUUCCAGGUGUAGCGGUGAAAUGCGUAGAUAUCUGGAGGAACACCUGAGGCGAAGGCGGGUUGCUAGGCUGAUACUGACGCUGAGGCGCGAAAGCUAGGGUAGCAAACGGG
RNAcentral lists this ribosomal RNA (253 nucleotides) under uncultured bacterium. RNAcentral describes it as "partial 16S ribosomal RNA". It matches the Rfam family "Bacterial small subunit ribosomal RNA", at positions 524 to 776 of the family's 1533-position model. The record is from RNAcentral.